RNAcentral lists this ribosomal RNA (468 nucleotides) under uncultured bacterium. RNAcentral's name for it is "partial 16S ribosomal RNA". It matches the Rfam family "Bacterial small subunit ribosomal RNA", at positions 28 to 507 of the family's 1533-position model. The record is from RNAcentral.
GACGAACGCUGGCGGCGUGCUUAACACAUGCAAGUCGAACGGAAAGGCCCUGCUUUUGUGGGGUGCUCGAGUGGCGAACGGGUGAGUAACACGUGAGUAACCUGCCCUUGACUUUGGGAUAACUUCAGGAAGCUGGGGCUAAUACCGGAUAGGAGCUCCUGCUGCAUGGUGGGGGUUGGAAAGUUUCGGCGGUUGGGGAUGGACUCGCGGCUUAUCAGCUUGUUGGUGGGGUAGUGGCUUACCAAGGCUUUGACGGGUAGCCGGCCUGAGAGGGUGACCGGCCACAUUGGGACUGAGAUACGGCCCAGACUCCUACGGGAGGCAGUAGUGGGGAAUAUUGCACAAUGGGCGGAAGCCUGAUGCAGCAACGCCGCGUGCGGGAUGACGGCCUUCGGGUUGUAAACCGCUUUCGCCUGUGACGAAGCGUGAGUGACGGUAAUGGGUAAAGAAGCACCGGCUAACUACGUG